RNAcentral lists this ribosomal RNA (1437 nucleotides) under Lactiplantibacillus plantarum. RNAcentral's name for it is "bacterial SSU rRNA". The record is from RNAcentral. Lineage: Bacteria; Bacillati; Bacillota; Bacilli; Lactobacillales; Lactobacillaceae.
CAAGUCGAACGAACUCUGGUAUUGAUUGGUGCUUGCAUCAUGAUUUACAUUUGAGUGAGUGGCGAACUGGUGAGUAACACGUGGGAAACCUGCCCAGAAGCGGGGGAUAACACCUGGAAACAGAUGCUAAUACCGCAUAACAACUUGGACCGCAUGGUCCGAGUUUGAAAGAUGGCUUCGGCUAUCACUUUUGGAUGGUCCCGCGGCGUAUUAGCUAGAUGGUGRGGUAACGGCUCACCAUGGCAAUGAUACGUAGCCGACCUGAGAGGGUAAUCGGCCACAUUGGGACUGAGACACGGCCCAAACUCCUACGGGAGGCAGCAGUAGGGAAUCUUCCACAAUGGACGAAAGUCUGAUGGAGCAACGCCGCGUGAGUGAAGAAGGGUUUCGGCUCGUAAAACUCUGUUGUUAAAGAAGAACAUAUCUGAGAGUAACUGUUCAGGUAUUGACGGUAUUUAACCAGAAAGCCACGGCUAACUACGUGCCAGCAGCCGCGGUAAUACGUAGGUGGCAAGCGUUGUCCGGAUUUAUUGGGCGUAAAGCGAGCGCAGGCGGUUUUUUAAGUCUGAUGUGAAAGCCUUCGGCUCAACCGAAGAAGUGCAUCGGAAACUGGGAAACUUGAGUGCAGAAGAGGACAGUGGAACUCCAUGUGUAGCGGUGAAAUGCGUAGAUAUAUGGAAGAACACCAGUGGCGAAGGCGGCUGUCUGGUCUGUAACUGACGCUGAGGCUCGAAAGUAUGGGUAGCAAACAGGAUUAGAUACCCUGGUAGUCCAUACCGUAAACGAUGAAUGCUAAGUGUUGGAGGGUUUCCGCCCUUCAGUGCUGCAGCUAACGCAUUAAGCAUUCCGCCUGGGGAGUACGGCCGCAAGGCUGAAACUCAAAGGAAUUGACGGGGGCCCGCACAAGCGGUGGAGCAUGUGGUUUAAUUCGAAGCUACGCGAAGAACCUUACCAGGUCUUGACAUACUAUGCAAAUCUAAGAGAUUAGACGUUCCCUUCGGGGACAUGGAUACAGGUGGUGCAUGGUUGUCGUCAGCUCGUGUCGUGAGAUGUUGGGUUAAGUCCCGCAACGAGCGCAACCCUUAUUAUCAGUUGCCAGCAUUAAGUUGGGCACUCUGGUGAGACUGCCGGUGACAAACCGGAGGAAGGUGGGGAUGACGUCAAAUCAUCAUGCCCCUUAUGACCUGGGCUACACACGUGCUACAAUGGAUGGUACAACGAGUUGCGAACUCGCGAGAGUAAGCUAAUCUCUUAAAGCCAUUCUCAGUUCGGAUUGUAGGCUGCAACUCGCCUACAUGAAGUCGGAAUCGCUAGUAAUCGCGGAUCAGCAUGCCGCGGUGAAUACGUUCCCGGGCCUUGUACACACCGCCCGUCACACCAUGAGAGUUUGUAACACCCAAAGUCGGUGGGGUAACCUUUUAGGAACCAGCCGCCUAA